UGCCAAACAACUAACCCAAAAUUCAAAAAACAAUAAAUCCAUAUAAAUAACCCCAAAACCUCUAACAAAAUAAUAAACAAACCAUUUUUCCCCCUUAGUAUAGGUGAUAGAAAAGGACAUCCGGAGUAACAGAAAAAGUACCGCAAGGGAACGCUGAAAGAGAAAUGAAAUAACUCAGUAAAGCCCAUAAAAGCAGAGAUUAAACCUCGUACCUUUUGCAUCAUGAUUUAGCUAGAAACAACCCAAGCAAAGUGAACUUUAGUUUGAAACCCCGAAACUAAGUGAGCUACUCCAAGGCAGCCUAUUAAUAGGGCAAACCCGUCUCUGUGGCAAAAGAGUGGGAAGAACUUUGAGUAGAGGUGACAGACCUAUCGAACUUAGUUAUAGCUGGUUGCCCGAGAAUUGGAUAGAAGUUCAGCCUCUAAGCUUCUUUACUCCCUCGUCCUGACCCUACCAGACGUUUAAGAAACUAAGAGAGUUAGUCAAGGGGGGUACAGCCCCCUUGACACAAGAUACAACUUUACCAGGAGGGUAAAGAUCAUACUUAAAUAAGGUAAAAUGUCUCAGUGGGCCUAAAAGCAGCCACCCGAACAGAAAGCGUUAAAGCUCAGACAUACCCUAAUCCUCAAAUACUGAUAAUAUAUUCUUAACCCCCUAAUCUUAUCGGGCUUUCCCAUGCAUACAUGGGAGCAAUUAUGCUAAUAUGAGUAAUAAGAGACCCUACCAUCUCUCCUAGCAUAUGUGUAAAUCGGAACGGACCCCCCGCCGAAGCUUAACGGCCCCAAAUAAAGAGGGAACUGAACUAUAAACCCAACAACCAGAAAAACACUCAACCACUAACCGUUAACCC
RNAcentral lists this ribosomal RNA (850 nucleotides) under Acanthurus monroviae (Monrovia doctorfish). Its description in RNAcentral is "partial 16S ribosomal RNA". The stretch from base 195 to 749 matches the Rfam family "Bacterial large subunit ribosomal RNA", at positions 572 to 2043 of the family's 2925-position model. Lineage: Eukaryota; Metazoa; Chordata; Actinopteri; Acanthuriformes; Acanthuridae. The record is from RNAcentral.